RNAcentral lists this ribosomal RNA (254 nucleotides) under uncultured bacterium. RNAcentral's name for it is "partial 16S ribosomal RNA". It matches the Rfam family "Bacterial small subunit ribosomal RNA", at positions 524 to 777 of the family's 1533-position model. The record is from RNAcentral.
UACGUAGGGCGCAAGCGUUAUCCGGAAUUAUUGGGCGUAAAGAGCUCGUAGGCGGUUUGUCGCGUCUGCCGUGAAAGUCCGGGGCUCAACUCCGGAUCUGCGGUGGGUACGGGCAGACUAGAGUGAUGUAGGGGAGACUGGAAUUCCUGGUGUAGCGGUGAAAUGCGCAGAUAUCAGGAGGAACACCGAUGGCGAAGGCAGGUCUCUGGGCAUUAACUGACGCUGAGGAGCGAAAGCAUGGGGAGCGAACAGGG